GGUUUAACAGGAGCCAAGGGGGAGCCUGGUCCCAUGGGGACCCCUGGAGUCAAAGGCCAGCCUGGACUCCCAGGCCCCCCAGGCCUGCCGGGCCCUGGUUUCGCUGGACCUCCUG
Nannospalax galili (Upper Galilee mountains blind mole rat) is the source of this 115-nucleotide long non-coding RNA. RefSeq lists it as uncharacterized. The record is from RefSeq and is a predicted model, not a curated record. Lineage: Eukaryota; Metazoa; Chordata; Mammalia; Rodentia; Spalacidae. The transcript has 3 exons.